Molecule: long non-coding RNA, 367 nt
Organism: Ictalurus punctatus (channel catfish)
Lineage: Eukaryota; Metazoa; Chordata; Actinopteri; Siluriformes; Ictaluridae
Source: Ensembl
AAAAAAAACAAUAGAAACCUUUAUAGAAUUUGUAAUGGAUUUAUAGGUUAUAAUGGGAAUUGUAUUGGUUUUAAUGGAAACUGUAAUAUAAUCCAUGUGGAUUUCUACUGGUAAUUUGUUGCCUUCUAUUUGUGGCAUGGUAUGUCUAGUGGAAACCAUUAAGGACUAACAAUGGUAAUGGUUUUAAUUGGUUAACAUUACAAACUGAUGGUUGGUAAUGGUAUUUGUAGUGGAAACCAUUAAGGACUAACAAUGGUAAUGGUUUUAAUAGGUUAACAUUACAAACUGAUGGUCGGUAAUGGCAUUUGUAGUGGAAACCAUUAAGGACUAACAAUGGUAAUGGUUUUAAUAGGUUAACAUUACAAAC